Molecule: ribosomal RNA, 40 nt
Filed under: Alternaria sp. DAR 58941
Lineage: Eukaryota; Fungi; Ascomycota; Dothideomycetes; Pleosporales; Pleosporaceae
Description: Embellisia sp. DAR 58941 partial 18S ribosomal RNA
Source: RNAcentral
UCCGUAGGUGAACCUGCGGAGGGAUCAUUACACAAUAAGA